Molecule: ribosomal RNA, 471 nt
Filed under: uncultured bacterium
Lineage: Bacteria
Description: bacterial SSU rRNA
Rfam family: Bacterial small subunit ribosomal RNA
Source: RNAcentral
ACUCCUACGGGAGGCAGCAGUGGGGAAUAUUGCACAAUGGGCGCAAGCCUGAUGCAGCCAUGCCGCGUGUAUGAAGAAGGCCUUCGGGUUGUAAAGUACUUUCAGCAGUGAGGAAGGUGGGUAUGUUAAUAGCAUAUUCAUUUGACGUUAGCUGCAGAAGAAGCACCGGCUAACUCCGUGCCAGCAGCCGCGGUAAUACGGAGGGUGCGAGCGUUAAUCGGAAUUACUGGGCGUAAAGCGCAUGCAGGUGGUUUGUUAAGUCAGAUGUGAAAGCCCGGGGCUCAACCUCGGAAUUGCAUUUGAAACUGGCAAACUAGAGUACUGUAGAGGGGGUAGAAUUUCAGGUGUAGCGGUGAAAUGCGUAGAGAUCUGAAGGAAUACCGGUGCGAAGCGGCCCCCUGGACAGAUACUGACACUCAGAUGUGAAAGCGUGGGGAGCAAACAGGAUUAGAUACCCUGGUAAGGCUCUGC